UUGGUUGCUUCUCGAACACUUUUUUCCUCGUUAAAAAAAAUUGCUUUUCAACUUGAAGAACAAAAGAGACAUAAAAUUAUCUCCAUUAAGAUGAAAUACAAAUGCAUGAUUUGCUAAUGGUGGAACAUGUUUUGGAGGGAAAAGGCGAGGAGUGGCUAUAAAUCAGGAUUCAGGAACGACCCAGAAGGAGUAUUACAUAAGAAGCUAUCAGUUGAUUUGUGAUUUGAUCUACAACUUGAUCUCCUCACUGGUGAUGAGAGGCUUCUGCAGCCGGUUUCUGCUUGCUAUACUGCUUGUUGUUCUUGUGUUCUGAGUUCCGUGAGGAGCUAGAGACUUGGGUACCUUUACAGACUACAACAUUCAGGACGAGAACGAAGAAAUAAAAGGUAUCACUCACAAGCUCAAUAGUUCAAUUAAUGCUUCGACUGUAUGCAAGUCCAUUAUCAUGUUCUGUCAACUUGCACUUGAGGAUUAUUACUUUUUCCUUUGUGCUGCAUUUUUUAAAGUCAAUUUAAAGCUUACGAGCAAGUAAAAU
This is a long non-coding RNA of Nicotiana attenuata, 535 nucleotides long. RefSeq lists it as uncharacterized. The transcript is spliced from 3 exons. The record is from RefSeq and is a predicted model, not a curated record. NCBI's taxonomy places the organism in Eukaryota, Viridiplantae, Streptophyta, Magnoliopsida, Solanales, Solanaceae.